Molecule: ribosomal RNA, 1760 nt
Filed under: Longidorus jonesi
Lineage: Eukaryota; Metazoa; Nematoda; Enoplea; Dorylaimida; Longidoridae
Description: SSU rRNA
Rfam family: Eukaryotic small subunit ribosomal RNA
Source: RNAcentral
AAAGAUUAAGCCAUGCAUGUCUAAGCACAUGCCUCAGUAUGGKGAAGCCGCGAAUAGCUCAUUACAACAGCCAUCGUUUACUAGAAAAUAGUUGUCCUACUUGGGAUAACUGUGGCAAUUCUAGAGCUAAUACAUGCGAAAAAGCUCAGUACCGCAAGGUCUGAGCGCAUUUAUUAGAAUAAAAACCAAUCGGGUCUAACAGCCCGCUCUUUGGUGAAUCUGAAUAACUUUGCUGAUCGCAGGUCUUAGUACCGGCGACGUAUCUUUCAAGUGUCUGCCUUAUCAACUUUCGAUGGUAGGUUAUACGCCUACCAUGGUAGUAACGGGUAACGGAGAAUAAGGGUUCGACUCCGGAGAGGGAGCCUGAGAAACGGCUACCACAUCCAAGGAAGGCAGCAGGCGCGCAAAUUACCCACUUCCAGAACGGAGAGGUAGUGACGAAAAAUAACGAGACAGUCCUCUUCGAGGUCUGUCAUCGGAAUGGGUACAAUUUAAAUCCUUUAACGAGGAUCUAUUGGAGGGCAAGUCUGGUGCCAGCAGCCGCGGUAAUUCCAGCUCCAAUAGCGUAUAUUAAAGUUGUUGCGGUUAAAACGCUCGUAGUUGGAUCUGCGGCCUGAGAGAACGGUCCCCCGAAAGGGCGGUAGCCGUUACUCUUGGCCUAAAUUUUCAGUCGACUCUACGGUGCCCUUAACCGGGUGCUUAGGGUGACUGGAACGUUUACUUUGAAAAAAUUAGAGUGCUUAAAGCAGGCGAAUUUGCCUGAAUAAGGUGCAUGGAAUAAUGGAAUAGGACCUCGGUUCUAUUUUGUUGGUUUUCGGAGCCUGAGGUAAUGAUUAAGAGGAACAGACKGGGGCAUUCGUAUUCCGGCGCUAGAGGUGAAAUUCUUGGACCGCCGGAAGACGGACGACUGCGAAAGCAUUUGCCAAGAAUGUUUUCAUUAAUCAAGAACGAAAGUUAGAGGUUCGAAGGCCGAUCCAGAUACCGCCCUUAGUUCAAUACCGUAAACGAUGACAACCAGCGAUUAGCCGGCGUUAAUAUAUGACCCGGCUAGCAGCUUCCGGGAAACCAAAGUUUUUCGUUUCCGGGGGAAGUAUGGUUGCAAAGCUGAAACUUAAAGGAAUUGACGGAAGGGCACCACCAGGAGUGGAGCCUGCGGCUUAAUUUGACUCAACACGGGAAAACUCACCCGGCCCGGACACCGUAAGGAUUGACAGACUGAGAGCUCUUUCUUAAUUCGGUGGGUGGUGGUGCAUGGCCGUUCUUAGUUGGUGGAGCGAUUUGUCUGGUUAAUUCCGAUAACGAACGAGACUCUGGCCUAUUAAAUAGCCGGUAUAUAUUGAAAGUUUACCGCGCUUCUUAGAGGGACAACCGGCUUCUAGCCGCGUGAAAUAGAGCAAUAACAGGUCUGUGAUGCCCUUAGAUGUCCGGGGCUGCACGCGCGCUACACUGAAAGAAUCAGUAUGCGCUUUUGCCUAGUUCGGAAGAACCGGGUAACCCUAGCAAAUUCUUUCGUGCUUGGGAUAGGGAAUUGCAAUUAUUUCCCUUAAACGAGGAAUUCCCAGUAAAUGCGGGUCAUAAGCUCGCGUUGAUUACGUCCCUGCCCUUUGUACACACCGCCCGUCGCUACUACCGAUUGGAUGACUUAGUGAGGUCUUAGGACCGAGGUAACGGAGCUUUAACGAGUUCCUUUGCUUUGGAAAUUUGAUCGAACUACGUUAUCUAGAGGAAGUAAAAGUCGUAACAAGGUAGCUGGUAGGUGA